AUUGAACGCUGGCGGCAGGCCUAACACAUGCAAGUCGAGCGAGCGGCGGACGGGUGUGUAAUGUCUGGGAAACUGUCCGAUGGAGGGGGAUAACUAAUGUAAAAGGUAUCUAAUACCGCAUACCAUCAGAUGUGUCCAGAUGGGAUUAGCUCGAAGGUGGGGGAACGGCUCACCGAGGCGACGAUCCCUAGCUGGUCUGAGAGGAGGACCAGCCACACUGGAACUGAGACACGGUCCAGACUCCUACGGGAGGCAGCAGUGGGGAAUAUGGCACAAUGGGCGCAAGCCUGAUGCAGCCAUGCCGCGUGUGUGAAGAAGGCCUUCGGGUUGUAAAGCACUUUCAGCGGGGAGGCGUUACCCGCAGAAGAAGCACCGGCUAACUCCGUGCCAGCAGCCGCGGUAAUUC
Molecule: ribosomal RNA, 406 nt
Filed under: uncultured bacterium
Lineage: Bacteria
Description: partial 16S ribosomal RNA
Rfam family: Bacterial small subunit ribosomal RNA
Source: RNAcentral